RNAcentral lists this ribosomal RNA (636 nucleotides) under Cortinarius salor. Its description in RNAcentral is "SSU rRNA". It matches the Rfam family "Eukaryotic small subunit ribosomal RNA", at positions 511 to 1159 of the family's 1831-position model. The record is from RNAcentral. Lineage: Eukaryota; Fungi; Basidiomycota; Agaricomycetes; Agaricales; Cortinariaceae.
UUGGAAUGAGUACAAUUUAAAUCYCUUAACGAGGAACAAUUGGAGGGCAAGUCUGGUGCCAGCAGCCGCGGUAAUUCCAGCUCCAAUAGCGUAUAUUAAAGUUGUURCAGUUAAAAAGCUCGUAGUUGAACUUCAGGCCUGGCUGGGCGGUCUGCUUAACGGCAUGUACUGUCUGGCUGGGUCUUACCUCUUGGUGAGCCGGUGUGCCCUUUAUUGGUGUGCAUUGGGGAACCAGGACUUUUACCUUGAGAAAAUUAGAGUGUUCAAAGCAGGCCUAUGCCCGAAUACAUUAGCAUGGAAUAAUAAAAUAGGACGUGCGGUUCUAUUUUGUUGGUUUCUAGAGUCGCCGUAAUGAUUAAUAGGGAUAGUUGGGGGCAUUGGUAUUGAGUCGCUAGAGGUGAAAUUCUUGGAUUGACUCAAGACCAACUAUUGCGAAAGCAUUUGCCAAGGAUGUUUUCAUUAAUCAAGAACGAAGGUUAGGGGAUCGAAAACGAUUAGAUACCGUUGUAGUCUUAACAGUAAACUAUGCCGACUAGGGAUCGGGCAACCUCAAUUUUGAUGUGUUGCUCGGCACCUUACGAGAAAUCAAAGUCUUUGGGUUCUGGGGAGAGUAUGGUCGCAAGGCUGAAACUUAAA